RNAcentral lists this non-coding RNA (124 nucleotides) under Paracoccus yeei. RNAcentral's name for it is "TPP sequence". It matches the Rfam family "TPP riboswitch aptamer (THI element)". Rfam says of the family: Vitamin B(1) in its active form thiamin pyrophosphate (TPP) is an essential coenzyme that is synthesised by coupling of pyrimidine and thiazole moieties in bacteria. The previously detected thiamin-regulatory element, thi box was extended, resulting in a new, highly conserved RNA secondary structure, the THI element, which is widely distributed in eubacteria and also occurs in some archaea. Lineage: Bacteria; Pseudomonadati; Pseudomonadota; Alphaproteobacteria; Rhodobacterales; Paracoccaceae. The record is from Rfam by way of RNAcentral.
UUCGCCACCAAGGGGAGUCCCGGCAAGGGGCUGAGAGUUCGCUGGCGUCCCGGAAUGGGCGGCGCGAUGACCCUUAGAACCUGAUCCGGAUCAUGCCGGCGAAGGGAUGGGAGAGAUGCGCCUG